RNAcentral lists this ribosomal RNA (2639 nucleotides) under Escherichia coli. RNAcentral's name for it is "partial 23S ribosomal RNA". It matches the Rfam family "Bacterial large subunit ribosomal RNA", at positions 323 to 2925 of the family's 2925-position model. Lineage: Bacteria; Pseudomonadati; Pseudomonadota; Gammaproteobacteria; Enterobacterales; Enterobacteriaceae. The record is from RNAcentral.
UGUGUGUUAGUGGAAGCGUCUGGAAAGGCGCGCGAUACAGGGUGACAGCCCCGUACACAAAAAUGCACAUGCUGUGAGCUCGAUGAGUAGGGCGGGACACGUGGUAUCCUGUCUGAAUAUGGGGGGACCAUCCUCCAAGGCUAAAUACUCCUGACUGACCGAUAGUGAACCAGUACCGUGAGGGAAAGGCGAAAAGAACCCCGGCGAGGGGAGUGAAAAAGAACCUGAAACCGUGUACGUACAAGCAGUGGGAGCACGCUUAGGCGUGUGACUGCGUACCUUUUGUAUAAUGGGUCAGCGACUUAUAUUCUGUAGCAAGGUUAACCGAAUAGGGGAGCCGAAGGGAAACCGAGUCUUAACUGGGCGUUAAGUUGCAGGGUAUAGACCCGAAACCCGGUGAUCUAGCCAUGGGCAGGUUGAAGGUUGGGUAACACUAACUGGAGGACCGAACCGACUAAUGUUGAAAAAUUAGCGGAUGACUUGUGGCUGGGGGUGAAAGGCCAAUCAAACCGGGAGAUAGCUGGUUCUCCCCGAAAGCUAUUUAGGUAGCGCCUCGUGAAUUCAUCUCCGGGGGUAGAGCACUGUUUCGGCAAGGGGGUCAUCCCGACUUACCAACCCGAUGCAAACUGCGAAUACCGGAGAAUGUUAUCACGGGAGACACACGGCGGGUGCUAACGUCCGUCGUGAAGAGGGAAACAACCCAGACCGCCAGCUAAGGUCCCAAAGUCAUGGUUAAGUGGGAAACGAUGUGGGAAGGCCCAGACAGCCAGGAUGUUGGCUUAGAAGCAGCCAUCAUUUAAAGAAAGCGUAAUAGCUCACUGGUCGAGUCGGCCUGCGCGGAAGAUGUAACGGGGCUAAACCAUGCACCGAAGCUGCGGCAGCGACGCUUAUGCGUUGUUGGGUAGGGGAGCGUUCUGUAAGCCUGUGAAGGUGUGCUGUGAGGCAUGCUGGAGGUAUCAGAAGUGCGAAUGCUGACAUAAGUAACGAUAAAGCGGGUGAAAAGCCCGCUCGCCGGAAGACCAAGGGUUCCUGUCCAACGUUAAUCGGGGCAGGGUGAGUCGACCCCUAAGGCGAGGCCGAAAGGCGUAGUCGAUGGGAAACAGGUUAAUAUUCCUGUACUUGGUGUUACUGCGAAGGGGGGACGGAGAAGGCUAUGUUGGCCGGGCGACGGUUGUCCCGGUUUAAGCGUGUAGGCUGGUUUUCCAGGCAAAUCCGGAAAAUCAAGGCUGAGGCGUGAUGACGAGGCACUACGGUGCUGAAGCAACAAAUGCCCUGCUUCCAGGAAAAGCCUCUAAGCAUCAGGUAACAUCAAAUCGUACCCCAAACCGACACAGGUGGUCAGGUAGAGAAUACCAAGGCGCUUGAGAGAACUCGGGUGAAGGAACUAGGCAAAAUGGUGCCGUAACUUCGGGAGAAGGCACGCUGAUAUGUAGGUGAGGUCCCUCGCGGAUGGAGCUGAAAUCAGUCGAAGAUACCAGCUGGCUGCAACUGUUUAUUAAAAACACAGCACUGUGCAAACACGAAAGUGGACGUAUACGGUGUGACGCCUGCCCGGUGCCGGAAGGUUAAUUGAUGGGGUUAGCGGUAACGCGAAGCUCUUGAUCGAAGCCCCGGUAAACGGCGGCCGUAACUAUAACGGUCCUAAGGUAGCGAAAUUCCUUGUCGGGUAAGUUCCGACCUGCACGAAUGGCGUAAUGAUGGCCAGGCUGUCUCCACCCGAGACUCAGUGAAAUUGAACUCGCUGUGAAGAUGCAGUGUACCCGCGGCAAGACGGAAAGACCCCGUGAACCUUUACUAUAGCUUGACACUGAACAUUGAGCCUUGAUGUGUAGGAUAGGUGGGAGGCUUUGAAGUGUGGACGCCAGUCUGCAUGGAGCCGACCUUGAAAUACCACCCUUUAAUGUUUGAUGUUCUAACGUUGACCCGUAAUCCGGGUUGCGGACAGUGUCUGGUGGGUAGUUUGACUGGGGCGGUCUCCUCCUAAAGAGUAACGGAGGAGCACGAAGGUUGGCUAAUCCUGGUCGGACAUCAGGAGGUUAGUGCAAUGGCAUAAGCCAGCUUGACUGCGAGCGUGACGGCGCGAGCAGGUGCGAAAGCAGGUCAUAGUGAUCCGGUGGUUCUGAAUGGAAGGGCCAUCGCUCAACGGAUAAAAGGUACUCCGGGGAUAACAGGCUGAUACCGCCCAAGAGUUCAUAUCGACGGCGGUGUUUGGCACCUCGAUGUCGGCUCAUCACAUCCUGGGGCUGAAGUAGGUCCCAAGGGUAUGGCUGUUCGCCAUUUAAAGUGGUACGCGAGCUGGGUUUAGAACGUCGUGAGACAGUUCGGUCCCUAUCUGCCGUGGGCGCUGGAGAACUGAGGGGGGCUGCUCCUAGUACGAGAGGACCGGAGUGGACGCAUCACUGGUGUUCGGGUUGUCAUGCCAAUGGCACUGCCCGGUAGCUAAAUGCGGAAGAGAUAAGUGCUGAAAGCAUCUAAGCACGAAACUUGCCCCGAGAUGAGUUCUCCCUGACCCUUUAAGGGUCCUGAAGGAACGUUGAAGACGACGACGUUGAUAGGCCGGGUGUGUAAGCGCAGCGAUGCGUUGAGCUAACCGGUACUAAUGAACCGUGAGGCUUAACCUUACAACGCCGAAGGUGUUU